Lemur catta (Ring-tailed lemur) is the source of this 770-nucleotide long non-coding RNA. RefSeq lists it as uncharacterized. Lineage: Eukaryota; Metazoa; Chordata; Mammalia; Primates; Lemuridae. The record is from RefSeq and is a predicted model, not a curated record. The transcript is spliced from 3 exons.
GGCUAGAGAAGUAACACAUGACAUCUUUCUCUCUCGAAUUAAAAUGUGACUUGGUUCACUGGUAAAAACGAAGAGGGAGAUGGAAAUGACCGGGAGUCGAAAAGAGAAGCAAUCUCCCAUCAAGAGGGAAACCACGGAGAACGGAGGCUGAUGCCCACACUGAGCCCAAAAUAGUUCCAAGUAGAUUUGCUUGAACAAAAGAAAAAUGUCAUCAGCACCCAGAGUAGCACAUAGGAAGAAUGUGUGUCUUAGCCUCAGUGAAAAAGGCAUGACAGAUCUUCCCCUAUGGGAGAAAAUAAAAGAAAGCCCCUGUGAACUUGACAAGAUAGCUGCUGAUUCUCUGCCUGAUGGAGAGGACGGAGCUGUGAGAACUGCAUGAGAAAGUAAGAAGUUGCUUCAGUAGCACAACUGCUCUCCCUGUGACGGGCAGUGGUCCAGUUUCAGCAAGGAUGAGCUGAGUACAUACACUGGCCAAACACUGCAUCGGAUGCCAGAGAUGUGAAGACGAGGAGAACAUGGUCCCUAUCCUAAGCACCGCAAAGCUUAGUGGGGAAGGACAAAUGAAACAAACGAUGGAACACAUCGUGAUUGUGGUUGAUGUUAAAAAAGAGCCGAGAUGAAAAGUACUCCGUGGUCAUUAGAGGGAGAAUGGCCAGCUCUAAGGAAGGGUAAGAGCGAAGGCAUCACAUAAGGCAGAAUGCAGAUGCUACUUAGGUCUUCAUGUUGGGUGUGGUCAGCAGUUAUUAAGUGAAAAUGAAAUAAAUUAUGGA